UGCCCGGUUCGCGGUCUUAUACAUGCAAGUCGAGCGAGCAGAACCAGCAGAUUUACUUCGGUAAUGACGCUGGGGACGCGAGCGGCGGAUGGGUGAGUAACACGUGGGGAACCUGCCCCAUAGUCUAGGAUACCACUUGGAAACAGGUGCUAAUACCGGAUAAUAAAGCAGAUCGCAUGAUCAGCUUAUAAAAGGCGGCGUAAGCUGUCGCUAUGGGAUGGCCCCGCGGUGCAUUAGCUAGUUGGUAAGGUAACGGCUUACCAAGGCAAUGAUGCAUAGCCGAGUUGAGAGACUGAACGGCCACAUUGGGACUGAGACACGGCCCAAACUCCUACGGGAGGCAGCAGUAGGGAAUCUUCCACAAUGGACGCAAGUCUGAUGGAGCAACGCCGCGUGAGUGAAGAAGGUUUUCGGAUCGUAAAGCUCUGUUGUUGGUGAAGAAGGAUAGAGGUAGUAACUGGCCUUUAUUUGACGGUAAUCAACCAGAAAGUCACGGCUAACUACGUGCCAGCAGCCGCGGUAAUACGUAGGUGGCAAGCGUUGUCCGGAUUUAUUGGGCGUAAAGCGAGCGCAGGCGGAAUAAUAAGUCUGAUGUGAAAGCCCUCGGCUUAACUGAGGAAUUGCAUCGGAAACUGUUUUUCUUGUGUGCAAAGAGGAGAGUGGACUUCCUUGUGUAGCGGUGGAAUGCGUGUAUUUUGGGAAGAUCACCUGUGUUGAUUG
RNAcentral lists this ribosomal RNA (720 nucleotides) under Lactobacillus helveticus. RNAcentral describes it as "bacterial SSU rRNA". It matches the Rfam family "Bacterial small subunit ribosomal RNA", at positions 34 to 721 of the family's 1533-position model. Lineage: Bacteria; Bacillati; Bacillota; Bacilli; Lactobacillales; Lactobacillaceae. The record is from RNAcentral.